CUGCAGGUCCUCGAGCUGCUGCUGCUGCUGGGCCACCGCUGCCUGCAGCGCCCUGUUCUCCCCUGCAGGGAGCAAAGGCAACGGGGACAAGGGUGACGAGGGGAUGGGAUCAGGGUGAUCCAGGGGAUGGGAUCAGGGUGUCCCAGGGGAUGGGAUCAGGGUGAUGAGGGGAUGGGAUCAGGGUGAUCCAGGGGAUGGGAUCAGGGUGUUCCAGGGGAUGGGAUCAGGGUGAUCCAGGGGAUGGGAUCAGGGUGACCCAGGGGAUGGGAUCAGGGUGUCCCAGGGGAUGGGAUCAGGGUGUUCCAGGGGAUGGGAUCAGGGUGAUCCAGGGGAUGGGAUCAGGGUGUCCCAGGGGAUGGGAUCAGGGGUGAUGAGGGGAUGGGAUCAGGGUGUCCCAGGGGAUGGGAUCAGGGUGACCCAGGGGACGGGAUCAGGGGUGAUGAGGGGAUGGGAUCAGGGUGUCCCAGGGGAUGGGAUCAGGGUGACCCAGGGGACGGGAUCAGGGUGUCCCAGGGGAUGGGAUCAGGGGUGAUGAGGGGAUGGGAUCAGGGUGUCUCAGAGCACUGUACCAGGGUGUCCCAUAGGUCAUUGCCUGCACCCGCCCCCCCGCACCCCUUUUCCUGCUCCAGCCCC
Molecule: long non-coding RNA, 633 nt
Organism: Neopsephotus bourkii (Bourke's parrot)
Lineage: Eukaryota; Metazoa; Chordata; Aves; Psittaciformes; Psittacidae
Exons: 5
Source: RefSeq, a predicted model, not a curated record